This is a non-coding RNA of Acanthosepion pharaonis, 101 nucleotides long. The record is from the annotation of a GenBank genome assembly. Lineage: Eukaryota; Metazoa; Mollusca; Cephalopoda; Sepiida; Sepiidae.
UGGCUCGGAAUGUCGAGUUCCCGUAUGAUCACUGAAGUUAAGCAACGUCGGGCCUGGUCAGCAACUAGAUGGGUGACCGCUCGGGAAUACUAGGUUCUGAA